RNAcentral lists this ribosomal RNA (498 nucleotides) under uncultured bacterium. RNAcentral's name for it is "partial 16S ribosomal RNA". It matches the Rfam family "Bacterial small subunit ribosomal RNA", at positions 30 to 523 of the family's 1533-position model. The record is from RNAcentral.
AUUGAACGCUGGCGGCAUGCCUUACACAUGCAAAUCGAACGGUAACAGGUCUUCGGAUGCUGACGAGUGGCGAACGGGUGAGUAAUACAUCGGAACGUGCCUAGUAGUGGGGGAUAACUACUCGAAAGAGUGGCUAAUACCGCAUGAGAUCUACGGAUGAAAGCAGGGGAUCGCAAGACCUUGUGCUACUAGAGCGGCCGAUGGCAGAUUAGGUAGUUGGUGGGAUAAAAGCUUACCAAGCCGACGAUCUGUAGCUGGUCUGAGAGGACGAUCAGCCACACUGGGACUGGGACAGGGCCCAGACUCCUACGGGAGGCAGCAGUGGGGAAUUUUGGACAAUGGGCGCAAGCCUGAUCCAGCAAUGCCGCGUGCAGGAUGAAGGCCUUCGGGUUGUAAACUGCUUUUGUACGGAACGAAAAGCCCUGGGUUAAUACCCUGGGGUCAUGACGGUACCGUAAGAAUAAGCACCGGCUAACUACGUGCCAGCCGCCGCCGUAA